UACGUAGGGUGCGAGCGUUGUCCGGAAUUAUUGGGCGUAAAGAGCUUGUAGGCGGUUUGUCGCGUCUGCUGUGAAAAUCCGGGGCUCAACCCCGGACUUGCAGUGGGUACGGGCAGACUGGAGUGUGGUAGGGGAGACUGGAAUUCCUGGUGUAGCGGUGGAAUGCGUAGAUAUCUGGAGGAAUACCGGUGGCGAAGGCGGCAUCCUGGACCGGCAUUGACGCUGAGGAGCGAAAGCCAGGGGAGCAAACGGG
This 253-nucleotide ribosomal RNA is filed under the name uncultured bacterium. RNAcentral's name for it is "partial 16S ribosomal RNA". It matches the Rfam family "Bacterial small subunit ribosomal RNA", at positions 524 to 776 of the family's 1533-position model. The record is from RNAcentral.